Rhinolophus ferrumequinum (greater horseshoe bat) is the source of this 432-nucleotide long non-coding RNA. RefSeq lists it as uncharacterized. The record is from RefSeq and is a predicted model, not a curated record. NCBI's taxonomy places the organism in Eukaryota, Metazoa, Chordata, Mammalia, Chiroptera, Rhinolophidae. The transcript is spliced from 3 exons.
CUCUUUCUUCUUCUGACUCCUGAUUGACCCUAGUGUUUCCCCGUGUGGACCCUGGGGAGUGGUGGUAUCCCCCCUCCUCUUGUGACUUGGUUGCUCUAAAGAGAUUGCCUGAGUUGUAGCUAUAGCCAGGAUACAGUGAAGAAGAAAGUGAAAAAGAAAUUUCUGUCUUGUGUUGUAUUCUUGACAUACAUAAAAGAAGCAAACAAAAUGGCUCAAAGCUUGAACAUGGACCCAGAUCUGGACUUCGAGACCCGAAGGGCAGUCCACGAGAGGCUUCUGGGAAAGUUAUUCUGUCCAGAUAAAGAGAGAUGCAUGGAAAAUCUGUCUUUCUUCUGCAUUUUGGAGUGAUUGUGUCAAGAUAUAAUACACUGGAAUAGAGGCAGCCAUUUUGUAAUCCCUACAGAAAAAGGCUGAGGAAAAAAACCAAAGUCU